CCUACGGGUGGCAGCAGUGAGGAAUAUUGGUCAAUGGCCGUAAGGCUGAACCAGCCAAGUAGCGUGAGGGAAGACUGCCCUAUGGGUUGUAAACCUCUUUUAUGCGGGGAUAAAGGUGUCCACUUGUGGAUGUUUGCAGGUACCGCAUUAAUACGGACAGGCUAAUUCCGUUCCGGCAGCCGCGGUAAGACGGAGGGUCCGGGCGUUAUCCGGAUUUAUUGGGUUUAAAGGGAGCGUAGGCCGUGCUUUAAGGGUGCCGUGAAAUUUUGGGGCUCAACCAUGAGAGUGCGGCGCGUACUGGAGACCUUGAGUGCGCGGAAGGCAGGCGGAAUUCGUGGUGUAGCGGUGAAAUGCGUAGAUAUCACGAAGAACCCCGAUUGCGAAGGCAGCCUGCCGCAGCGUUACUGACGCUGAAGCGCGAAAGCGCGGGUAUCGAACAGGAUUAGAUACCCCUGUAGUC
This 460-nucleotide ribosomal RNA is filed under the name uncultured bacterium. RNAcentral's name for it is "partial 16S ribosomal RNA". It matches the Rfam family "Bacterial small subunit ribosomal RNA", at positions 338 to 795 of the family's 1533-position model. The record is from RNAcentral.